Molecule: non-coding RNA, 118 nt
Organism: Chelonoidis abingdonii (Abingdon island giant tortoise)
Lineage: Eukaryota; Metazoa; Chordata; Testudines; Testudinidae
Source: RefSeq, a predicted model, not a curated record
AACAAGGAUAAUCUUUGUCAAGGUCUGCAACCAUUCAGAAGUGGAGCGCUAAGUCUUCAUUUAUUCACUGUAAUUUAAGGUUUAGUAUGCCACUAAUAUAUUUUAAUGUUUUUAGAAG